This 433-nucleotide ribosomal RNA is filed under the name uncultured bacterium. RNAcentral's name for it is "partial 16S ribosomal RNA". It matches the Rfam family "Bacterial small subunit ribosomal RNA", at positions 29 to 507 of the family's 1533-position model. The record is from RNAcentral.
AGCGAACGCUGGCGGCAGGCCUAACACAUGCAAGUCGAACGAACUCUUCGGAGUUAGUGGCGGACGGGUGAGUAACACGUGGGAACGUGCCUUUAGGUUCGGAAUAACUCAGGGAAACUUGUGCUAACACCGAAUGUGCCCUUCGGGGGAAAGAUUUAUCGCCUUUAGAGCGGCCCGCGUCUGAUUAGCUAGUUGGUGAGGUAAAGGCUCACCAAGGCGACGAUCAGUAGCUGGUCUGAGAGGAUGAUCAGCCACAUUGGGACUGAGACACGGCCCAAACUCCUACGGGAGGCAGCAGUGGGGAAUCUUGCGCAAUGGGCGAAAGCCUGACGCAGCCAUGCCGCGUGAAUGAUGAAGGUCUUAGGAUUGUAAAAUUCUUUCACCGGGGACGAUAAUGACGGUACCCGGAGAAGAAGCCCCGGCUAACUUCGUG